Molecule: long non-coding RNA, 2476 nt
Organism: Poecilia latipinna (sailfin molly)
Lineage: Eukaryota; Metazoa; Chordata; Actinopteri; Cyprinodontiformes; Poeciliidae
Exons: 3
Source: RefSeq, a predicted model, not a curated record
GAAGCAAAGUAACCCCAGAGCAUUCUGAAGCCACCACCAUGUUUCAGUAUCAGCAUAUUGCUUUUGUGCAGCAUUUUUCUGACUAUUUUAAUUUUAUUUCUUUAUAUUUAUUCCACUGUUUUUGUCCCAUACAGUGCAUCACUUUUGGACUCCCGUGCCCCAACCUUGUAUUCUUGAAUUUUAUUACAGCUUUUGCUUUUUAAUAUGCCACCCCCUGAUUACUGGCGGCUUAAAUCUCUAGCCACACCUUUAAAAACCGUUGCUGAUGGUGAUGCUGAUGGUCCUCUGGGAGCAGUAAACUCAGCAUAAUGAGCUCUUUUUACACACAUCAUGUUGAUUCAUUGGCUUCACCUCAAACUGAAUCCUGAUUGUGUCUUGAUGAAAAGCAUUACCUCUUUUUUUUCCCUUCUCUAAUCAAUAUUACAGCAGCUGUGAUUACAUGUAAAACAUGCACAACGCGUGAGCAGAGCUCCGUUGGAAUCGUGUAUUAUCUAAUUUACAUAAAAACACGCAUGUCCUUUUCGCCUGGGCAGCCAUUAAAUUUCAGCUGCCGUAAUUGAGUUCAUUAGAUUUAACGUCCUGGUCAAGGUCAUCUUUGUUACCAUGGAGACAGUGAGGCUCCGCCCCUCUUCCAAUGUUCAGGGCAUCUUCCAGGAGCUGCGGAUACAGCCAUAAGCAGCGCUCAAACAGAGGCAUGCACUGAAGGAUGUGAAGGGUUCGUGCUUCAGGUCCUACCCAAUAGCAAUUCACCUUCGCCGUGCCCUGCAGAGUGAAGUCAGCAGCUGUGCAAUACCUUUACAGGAAACCGAAGGAAAAGAAAGGACCAAGAGAAACAAAUCAUGUAGGCAGUGAAAUCACUUAGAAUCGCCAUUAUAUUUUCAUUCACCCAGAAGAAAACAUCUUGAGAAUAGUUUCACAGAUUUUUUUUUAUUUUUGUUUGGAUUUUAAUGUUCAGCUAAUGAACAGAUUCAGCCAAACCUUUGCAUCUCAUCUACAACAAAAUGAAGGCUGGUUUGGAAAGUAGUGUUUUGAUAUACACUUAACUAUAUUUGCAGAAGGAAAUAAAACAAUACCUGACCUGAAAAAAGUAUUCACAUCUCUUGAACCUGUUCAUAUUUUGUCAUGUUACCACAAAUUCCUGUGUAUUUUUUUCAUGAUAGACCACCACAGUGUAGGACAUUAUUGUGAGUUAGAAAGUUAGCUCGUUCAGAAUUACUAGUAUUUAGACCACGAAGUUCAAAUUUUUGGUUUUUAAUUAGACCAAACCAUCUUCUUUAAUAUUGAAUGUAAUGCUUAGAUUGUGGUUAGAACAGGACAAACUAUGACAAAUGCAUUCAAGAGAUAUCAAUGCUUUUGGAAAACAUUGUAAAUAUUUUCUUUCAAAUAAUUUAACUAAAAAAAAAACACAUUUAAGAAGUUUUAGCCUCUGGUUCCUACAAAAAAAGUAAGCUGAAAAUUAUUUAAGAACACCGACUUUUACUUUUUAUUCACUGUAGUUCCUCAUAUAUCCACUUAUUUAUAUGCAGAAAGAAUUUUGGCAAUAUGAUAAAUACUGUGGUUCCCUCUCUUAUUGGCAAAGAAGAUGGCUCUAGAACUAUACACGCCCUUGUCUUGCAGGGUAGAACCCAUUUUCCAGAGCACCUGCUGAAGUGCUGAUAACAAAACGAGCGGCUGCUCCAUCUGCAGCCACUCCCUGCUAUCUUCAUUAAAAUAGCACCAAGAACUCCUUCCAACAUUAACACUGGCAUGUUGCGACCAAGGGCUGAUUCUAAUGGUUGGGUUUGCUAACGCAGAUGGUGGGAAAAUCCCCUUCCUCAGUUUCUGUCCUAAACACAGAAGAUCACUUCCAAGAAUGGAAAACGUUGGACAGGGAUCUGCUGCAGUGAUAAACCUCUUCCAGAGGAAAAUAAUUCACAGUACCGUCACUAAAAUCACGGGAGAAUUUGGUUUUAGGAAAAAAAAAAAAAAAAAGGUACAAAAACCACACAAUGCAGACCUGUUCACAUCUUGAUAAGCCCUUAUCCCUUCACAGACUGAUAUUUAGUGCUCGACUCGGUGCAUCAUUGGGGAAAUGUGUCAGAAACGAAGCUCAUCGAGUAUCCUCCACUUGAACGGAAUAAUGGGACAUUCUCUGCAGCUUUGUUUUUUUCCUGUAAACAGGCCGUUGGCAAGAGGCGGACGGCUGGUUUGGCAAAAAAUGUUGGUCUAGGUAUGAAAGGUGGUGAAAUAGCAGAGAAAGCAGGUGGAAAACACAAUUCAUCUUCGGUUACACCUAUCACUUGGUGAUACGAGUGAUUCCCUGAGACUAACAUGAGUUGAUGCUUUCCAGAAAGAUUUACAUCAGCGCCGUUUCUCCCGGCAUCCUGGCAAUAAUCUUUUUUUUUUUUCUUUGCCUCAAGGACGCUGCUGUACAAUGGCGUGUAAAGGCCAUUGUACGGACGGGGAAAAAAAGGAGUAAAUUUCUGCCAAAAAAAAA